AGUUAAGUUUCCAUCUGGGCUUUAAACUUACAGUCUUGUAAAAAUACUAAAGAUGCCUGGUUGAUCCAUCUAUGUAGUCUUCCUUCUUCAGUACUUGUGAGGGUGUUCCACUGGUGGCUAGGGGUAAGAAGUUAAAGAUGCUGCCUGACUUGCUGAGUGUUCCCAGGAUUUCCUGUUCUAAUUCAAGAUGAAAAUUGGUCGGUUUUUAGAUGUUAAUGGAAUUAAGAUUCAAUUGAAUCGGACUUAGACAUGUCCUGAGACUUCUGUGCAUCAGCAUUUCUGCAAAACUGCGUCCUACUAAGGAGCGUGGCGC
Long non-coding RNA from Pristis pectinata (smalltooth sawfish), 313 nucleotides. RefSeq lists it as uncharacterized. Lineage: Eukaryota; Metazoa; Chordata; Chondrichthyes; Rhinopristiformes; Pristidae. The transcript is spliced from 3 exons. The record is from RefSeq and is a predicted model, not a curated record.